This 254-nucleotide ribosomal RNA is filed under the name uncultured bacterium. RNAcentral describes it as "partial 16S ribosomal RNA". It matches the Rfam family "Bacterial small subunit ribosomal RNA", at positions 524 to 776 of the family's 1533-position model. The record is from RNAcentral.
UACGUAGGGUCCAAGCGUUAUCCGGAAUCACUGGGCGUAAAGCGUACGUAGGCGGGUUGUUAAGUGCAAUGCGAAAUCCUGUGGCUCAACCAUAUGGACUGUAUUGCAUACUGGCAACCUAGAGGAUAUGAGAGGCAAGUGGAAUUACCGGUGUAGCAGUGAAAUGCGUAGAUAUCGGUAGGAACACCAAUGGCGAAGGCAGCUGGCUAAACUAUAACUGACGCUGAUGCACGAAAGCGUGGGGAGCGAACAGG